UUUUUUUUUUUUGGUGGGAGGGCUUUACUGUACUCAUUUUGUUAAUGCUAUGAUUUUAAUUAUUUAAAAAAUGCAGAAAACAUUGGGUAUAAAAGACUUAACUUAUUCCACUCAUAUGAUCAACAUUGAUGUCUUAAUGCUAACAUGAACAAGAUACAAGUCCAGACGCAAGAUCCGGGCUUCAAACUUCGGUGCAAAAGGAGCAAAGUACUGGAACAAUCCAUAACCGUGGGAAAAUGUGUUGAUUGAAAGGUACAGAAUUAAGCUAACAUAAAAGACAUGGCUAUGUUUGAGGGUACAUUAAACUCUUGAUGAUUGUGGAAUUCAUGCAGACUUUCAAGAGAACGCUAUAUUGCAGGAAAAAUUCUUCAUGGCAAAUUCUCUUUCACCUAUACUGAAAUUCUUUGUUAAAAUAUCAACAUGGAAACAAAUUAUGGCAGGGCAAUGCAGUAGGAAAGUAAUCCUGCUAUAAUUUGUUUACAUGUUGACAUUCUAAAAAAACGAAUUUCAGCAAUUUAAAAUUCAUGGUUUACAUGAACUUUUGUUUUCUCAAUUUUAAUUUACCAAUGGAGAAAACAGAAUUUGAAAUUCAAAGUUUUGCCUGUGAUAGAGCGCUUUUUAACAAAAGACGAGACAUUAUUGAACAAGUAUGAGGUAUGAGGAACCACUAAACAUGAAACAGCUGAAUGUUUUUAUCUCAGGACCAUUUCUUUUUCUGAUUGUGAACCUUUGUCUUUCCACAUAGAACUGUGAAUGCUCACAUGUAUAGAAAUGGCAUCCUUGGUUUUUAUGUGCCUCCUUAUGCUGCUGCAAUAUCAUGACAAUUUUGUGCAACAGGAUGGUAACGCAAUGUUGUAAAGGGCUCACACUGUGGAUGAUUAUCUUCAGCAGCAAACAAUACAACAGAUGGAGGGACCAACACCGAACUUGAAUCCUAUCGAACAUGUUUGGGAUGCGCCUCAAAGCUUUGCACCUGCUUUUCAAGAACAAAGGCUCAUACUGCCAUUGGUCCUGGUAGACCACAUCACAUAUCACUGUAUUGCUGCUAGAGGUGAUCAUGCACCAUACUGAAGCAAAAGUUAUGUUGUCAUAGGCGCUUGUUCUUAUUUUCUUGUCCAGAAGUGCCAUCUAUGGGGAAGAAUUCGGCUUAUGCCACACCCGUUUAUGGAGUGGACUCAUUCAUAAAUCCAUCCAUAGAUCGUAAUUUACACCUGAACCAGAGAUCGAUUGAUCUCCAAUCCAAUACCCCCAGAGGAAUAAUUUGUAAAGGGAACAUGGAGGACUUUGUGACCCGACAGUUUUAACAUGCAUCAGCCACCAUUUACUACAUGGGGAGACUUCCGCCGGCUGGAUUCAAACUUCUAGUAUCACGAAUUUGGGUCCAGUGUCUUGCCAACCAAGCUCUCCCGGCCCAGCAAAAGUAAAAAUUUAUGGAAAUAGAUAAAAAUGUAUCAUGUAAAAACUGCUCAAAACAAAUAUAAUUCUAUGGAAAGUUAUUACAA
Non-coding RNA from Parasteatoda tepidariorum (common house spider), 1502 nucleotides. Lineage: Eukaryota; Metazoa; Arthropoda; Arachnida; Araneae; Theridiidae. The record is from RefSeq and is a predicted model, not a curated record.